RNAcentral lists this transfer RNA (90 nucleotides) under Rhodocyclaceae bacterium. Its description in RNAcentral is "tRNA-Ser". It matches the Rfam family "tRNA". From Rfam's summary of the family: Transfer RNA (tRNA) molecules are approximately 80 nucleotides in length. Their secondary structure includes four short double-helical elements and three loops (D, anti-codon, and T loops). RNAcentral also lists the same sequence under 2 other names. Lineage: Bacteria; Pseudomonadati; Pseudomonadota; Betaproteobacteria; Rhodocyclales; Rhodocyclaceae. The record is from RNAcentral.
GGAGAGGUGCCGGAGUGGUCGAACGGGCUUGACUCGAAAUCAAGUGUACGGCUUGCCGUACCGUGGGUUCGAAUCCCACCCUCUCCGCCA